Molecule: non-coding RNA, 1648 nt
Organism: Python bivittatus (Burmese python)
Lineage: Eukaryota; Metazoa; Chordata; Lepidosauria; Squamata; Pythonidae
Source: RefSeq, a predicted model, not a curated record
GGCGUGGAGGAGGUGGGGGAAAGAGAGCUUGGCGUCCUUUCGUUCUUCAACGUGGGCUCUGAGCGCUUACGGACUUUCCUGCCAUGUUGGGUACCCGCGUGGGCUCCGUUCUUGGGCGCCUCCUCAGGAGAGCUGCGGCGGCGGACGCUUUCCGCGCCCAGCCAAAUGUGCUUCAGGCUUGUUCAUCUUUUGCUACCGGACCCAGACAGGAAGUUGGCACUUUCUAUGAACUUCGCACUUAUGACAUUAAGCCAGCAAAGAUAAAGGAAUUCCUUGAAUUGGUCAAUAAAUAUAUUAAGAUUCGUAUGGUUCACUCAGAGAUGAUUGGAUUCUGGACAGCUGAAUUUGGGGCAAUGAAUAAGGCGUUUCAUAUUUGGAAAUAUGAUAAUUUUGCGCACAGAGCAGCUGUAAGGAAGGCUGUAAUCAAUGAUAAAGAAUGGCAGGAAAAAUUGGCUACAAUUCUUCCACUUCUGAAUAAACAGCAUAUGGAAAUUGCUUACUUGGUCCCUUGGUGUGAUUUGGGGAUCCCACCAAAAGAGGGAGUUUAUGAGUUGGUGACUUAUCAGUUGAAACCAGGUGGGCCAGCUUUAUGGGGAAAGUCAUUCAAAGCAGUUAUUGAUGCACAUGUUAGUAAAGGCUAUGCAAAACUGAUUGGCAUUUUCCACACAGAAUAUGGAUUUCUUAAUACAGUUCAUGUGCUUUGGUGGUUUGAGAAUCCAGAUAUCCGGGCAGCUGGAAGGCAUAUGGCCCAUGAAGAUGCCAGAGUUGUAGCAGCUGUUCGGGAGAAUGUUCAGUACUUGGAAACCCAGCAAAACCUGCUUCUGAUUCCUACAUUGUUUUCACCUUUGAAGUAAUUUUAUUCCAGUUGAAGGACAGCACAUAAAAAUUUUAUUUUCUGCGCUCCAAUCCUUAUUUGCAGUUUUUAUCUGUAGAUGCAGAUUGAGUAGCUUUGAAUAAUAGUCAUUAUUUGUGGAAACUCAAGUUAUACAUCUCAAAUAAAUGCUCUUCUAAUCAUCUGCAUAAAAAUAGAUUCAAACUGCAUGAGUAAAUAAUGACAGUACAGAAUAUCAAUAUUUAAAUAUUUAGAGCUGAGAAUGAAAAAAUGUGAUAGGUUUGAAUUAAUAAUUGCAUUCUGGUGUUACCCUCAUAUAUUUUUAAAUGUCUUAAUUUACAAAUACAACUAAAAACAAACAAAUGAUAAAACAUUAUAACCUAAAACUGCUCAGACUUGUAAAAUGAGUACUAAAAAGUUGACGUCACAAUAUAUUAUUUAAUCAGGGAAUUCUCAUUAUUAAUGUAUAGGUUGUAGAGAAUGAAGCUGAAAUUUAUUUAUUGAUAUUUGUUGCUGGAUCUGAACUUUAUAUGGUAUUCAUUAUUGCAUUAUGAUGAUUGAGAUUGUUAAAUGCAAAAUUAAAUAGUUUUUCUGAAUUGUGUGUAUGCAAUUCUGUCAUUUCCUCUCUUGCCCCUUGGCAGUGACAUUAAUUUUGUUUGUGCUAUGUAUCUCUGCAGGCUUCUUGAAAUUAAGCUGCAGAUUGCAGGAUCCAUAUCCCAUCUUUAAAAUCUAAGGCUUCAUCUUUUGGCACAGGGCCCCAACAAGCUGAUGGCACAUUCUAUGAGUUUCGUACUUACACAAUUAAGCCAAACAAGA